UACGUAGGGUGCAAGCGUUGUCCGGAAUUAUUGGGCGUAAAGAGCUCGUAGGCGGUUUGUCGCGUCUGCUGUGAAAACUCGGGGCUCAACUCCGAGCUUGCAGUGGGUACGGGCAGACUAGAGUGCGGUAGGGGAGACUGGAAUUCCUGGUGUAGCGGUUGAAUGCGCAGAUAUCAGGAGGAACACCGGUGGCGAAGGCGGGUCUCUGGGCCGUAACUGACGCUGAGGAGCGAAAGCAUGGGGAGCGAACAGG
This 253-nucleotide ribosomal RNA is filed under the name uncultured bacterium. Its description in RNAcentral is "partial 16S ribosomal RNA". It matches the Rfam family "Bacterial small subunit ribosomal RNA", at positions 524 to 776 of the family's 1533-position model. The record is from RNAcentral.